AAUGGCGACCGGCGCACGGGUGAGUAACACGUAUCCAACCUGCCGAUGACUCGGGGAUAGCCUUUCGAAAGAAAGAUUAAUACCCGAUGGCAUAGUUCUUCCGCAUGGUAGAACUAUUAAAGAAUUUCGGUCAUCGAUGGGGAUGCGUUCCAUUAGGUUGUUGGCGGGGUAACGGCCCACCAAGCCUUCGAUGGAUAGGGGUUCUGAGAGGAAGGUCCCCCACAUUGGAACUGAGACACGGUCCAA
RNAcentral lists this ribosomal RNA (246 nucleotides) under uncultured bacterium. Its description in RNAcentral is "partial 16S ribosomal RNA". It matches the Rfam family "Bacterial small subunit ribosomal RNA", at positions 87 to 334 of the family's 1533-position model. The record is from RNAcentral.